Molecule: ribosomal RNA, 528 nt
Filed under: uncultured bacterium
Lineage: Bacteria
Description: bacterial SSU rRNA
Rfam family: Bacterial small subunit ribosomal RNA
Source: RNAcentral
GUAACACGUGGGUAAUCUGCCCUGCACUUUGGGAUAAGCCUGGGAAACUGGGUCUAAUACCGAAUAUGACCUCGGGAUGCAUGUCCUGUGGUGGAAAGCUUUUGCGGUGUGGGAUGGGCCCGCGGCCUAUCAGCUAGUUGGUGGGGUGAUGGCCUACCAAGGCUACGAUCAGUAGCUGGUCUGAGAGGAUGAUCAGCCACACUGGGACUGAGACACGGCCAGACUCCUACGGGAGGCAGCAGUAGGGAAUCUUGCGCAAUGGGGGAAACCCUGACGCAGCCAUGCCGCGUGAAUGAUGAAGGUCUUAGGAUUGUAAAAUUCUUUCAGCGGGGAAGAUAAUGACUGUACCCGCAGAAGAAGCUCCGGCUAACUUCGUGCCAGCAGCCGCGGUAAUACGAAGGGGGCUAGCGUUGCUCGGAAUUACUGGGCGUAAAGGGCGCGUAGGCGGGUGUUUAAGUCAGAGGUUAAAUCCCAGGGCUCAACCCUGGAACUGCCUUUGAUACUGGGCACCUAGAGUUCGGGAGAGGU